GACGGGAUGGCCGAGUGGUCGAAGGCAAAGGACUGCAAAUCCUUCCGGAGCAAUCCGCGCGCGGGUUCGAAUCCCGCUCCCGUCUC
Molecule: transfer RNA, 86 nt
Filed under: Candidatus Omnitrophica bacterium ADurb.Bin292
Lineage: Bacteria; Pseudomonadati; Candidatus Omnitrophota
Description: tRNA-Cys
Rfam family: tRNA
About the family: Transfer RNA (tRNA) molecules are approximately 80 nucleotides in length. Their secondary structure includes four short double-helical elements and three loops (D, anti-codon, and T loops).
Source: RNAcentral